This 253-nucleotide ribosomal RNA is filed under the name uncultured bacterium. Its description in RNAcentral is "partial 16S ribosomal RNA". It matches the Rfam family "Bacterial small subunit ribosomal RNA", at positions 524 to 776 of the family's 1533-position model. The record is from RNAcentral.
UACGGGGGGGGCAAGCGUUGUUCGGAAUUACUGGGCGUAAAGGGCUCGUAGGCGGCCAACUAAGUCAGACGUGAAAUCCCUCGGCUUAACCGGGGAACUGCGUCUGAUACUGGAUGGCUGGAGUUUGGGAGAGGGAUGCGGAAUUCCAGGUGUAGCGGUGAAAUGCGUAGAUAUCAUUUGGAACGCCAAUGGUGAAAACAGGUAGCUGGGGCUGUGCUGACACUGAGACACGAAAGCCAGGGGAGCGAACGGG